AAGCGGAGGAAAAGAAAAUAACAAUGAUUCCCCCAGUAACGGCGAAGUGAAGAGGGGAAGAAGCCCAAAUUUGGAAUCUGGCGUCUUUCAGGCGUCCGAAGUUGUAAUCUGGAGAGGCCAUAUUCGUGUCGGACCGUAGCAAAGUCUGCUAUUAUGCAGCGCCAGAGAGGGUGUUAGCCCCGUUUGUACUAUGGAUCCCCGAUGCUUAGAGUAGGUCUUCAAAGAGUCGAGUUGUUUGGGAAUGCAGCUCUAAGAGGGUGGUAAAUUCCAUCUAAGGCUAAAUAACGGCGAGAGACCGAUAGCGCACAAGUACCGUGAGGGACAGAUGAAAAGCACUUUGGAAAGAGGGUGAAAAAGUACGUGAAAUCACUGAAAGGGAAGCGCUUGAGGUUAGACGUGCAUUGUAUGAUUCAGCCAAUCUUUGGAGAGGUGUAUUUCGUACUAUUGCAGGCCAGCGUCAGUUUUGUGUGCUGGAUAAGGGUAUAGGGAAUGUAGCAGUAGCUUCGGCUGCUGUAUUAUAGACCUUUACUGGAUACAGCAUGCGGGACUGAGGAACGCAGCGUGCCUUUAUGGCCAAUCCUGCGGGAUUGUGUACGCUUAGGAUGCUGGCAUUAAUAGCCUUAAACGACCCGUCUUGAAACACGGACCAAGGAGUCUAACAUGCUUGCAAGUAUGUGGGUGUCAAGCCCUUGUGCGUAAUGAAAGUAAACGUAGGUGGGAGCCCUUCGCGGGGUGCACCAUCGACCGGCUUGAAACUACGUGUGAAAAGUCUGAGUAGGAGCAAGUAUGUCGGGACCCGAAAGAUGGUGAACUAUGCCUGAAUAGGGUGAAGCCAGAGGAAACUCUGGUGGAGGCUCGUAGCGGUUCUGACGUGCAAAUCGAUCGUCGAAUUUGGGUAUAGGGGCGAAAGACUAAUC
This 917-nucleotide ribosomal RNA is filed under the name Tritirachium oryzae. RNAcentral's name for it is "LSU rRNA". It matches the Rfam family "Eukaryotic large subunit ribosomal RNA", at positions 48 to 936 of the family's 3401-position model. The record is from RNAcentral. Lineage: Eukaryota; Fungi; Basidiomycota; Tritirachiomycetes; Tritirachiales; Tritirachiaceae.